Long non-coding RNA from Corapipo altera (White-ruffed manakin), 519 nucleotides. RefSeq lists it as uncharacterized. The transcript has 3 exons. Lineage: Eukaryota; Metazoa; Chordata; Aves; Passeriformes; Pipridae. The record is from RefSeq and is a predicted model, not a curated record.
UUGGAUUUUUUUCCUGGUCUUAACUGCAUUUGAAAAUAUUUUGCUAUUACUUUUUAGGUCAAUGAGACAUCAGCUAAUUUGUAUGUAGCUAACAGCAGAACUAAAAUUCUGCACUUUCAAGUGGGCCUCAGUCCAGACUCCGAGCACAGGCACACGUGGGUGUGAAAGACUCUGCCUUUUUUUAUUUAGGCUUCACACUUUUCCUGGGGCCUCUGGGCUCCUGUCCAGGCCAAGAUACUUCACAAUUGACUUUCAUUUUCUGAGGUCAUGGAGAAGAUGGAUUCAAACUCUUUCCCAGAGCAUGCAAGGAUGAGAUGCAAUAGUUUAAAAGGUUCUAUGAUGGAAAUUAUUGUUAGAUAUGAAGAAAAGAAGAAUAAUGCAGUGAUUGGAACAGGUACUCAGAGUGCUUGUGAAAUCUUUAUCUCAGGAAAUUUUGACAAAUCAGAUGGAGAAAACCCUGAACAGUCUUAUCUAACUUUAAAGUUAGUCUAGCCCUGAUCAGAAGGUUGGAUUGAAUGG